AUCUUUGUUCUUGGGCCAAUGGCACAGUCAGUGAUUAGGUUAUACAGAGGUGUGAUAAUUGCUAGUUGGAAACUAUUUCUAAUACACCUGUAGGCCUUGGCUUUUUCUGGCCUUCGAGAAUUUCUGAAAGGGUCAGUUAGUGAAUUAAUAUCC
Thalictrum thalictroides is the source of this 153-nucleotide non-coding RNA. NCBI's taxonomy places the organism in Eukaryota, Viridiplantae, Streptophyta, Magnoliopsida, Ranunculales, Ranunculaceae. The record is from the annotation of a GenBank genome assembly.